GGUUAAGUUAGAAAGGGCGCACGGUGGAUGCCUUGACACUAGGAGUCGAUGAAGGACGGGACUAACGCCGAUAUGCUUCGGGGAGCUGUAAGUAAGCUUUGAUCCGAAGAUUUCCGAAUGGGGAAACCCACUAUACGUAAUGGUAUGGUAUCCUUACCUGAAUACAUAGGGUAUGGAAGACAGACCCAGGGAANUGAAACAUCUAAGUACCUG
This 213-nucleotide ribosomal RNA is filed under the name Bacillus thuringiensis serovar berliner. RNAcentral's name for it is "partial 23S ribosomal RNA". It matches the Rfam family "Bacterial large subunit ribosomal RNA", at positions 1 to 212 of the family's 2925-position model. RNAcentral also lists the same sequence under 3 other names. The record is from RNAcentral. Lineage: Bacteria; Bacillati; Bacillota; Bacilli; Caryophanales; Bacillaceae.